RNAcentral lists this ribosomal RNA (424 nucleotides) under uncultured prokaryote. Its description in RNAcentral is "bacterial SSU rRNA". It matches the Rfam family "Bacterial small subunit ribosomal RNA", at positions 355 to 774 of the family's 1533-position model. The record is from RNAcentral.
UCGAGAAUCUUCGGCAAUGGACGCAAGUCCGACCGAGCGACGCCGCGUGCGGGAUGAAGGCCUUCGGGUUGUAAACCGCUGUCAGUGGGGAGGAAAUUCGGGAGGGUUCUCCCUUUCGAUUGACCUAUCUUCAGAGGAAGUGCGGGCUAAGUUCGUGCCAGCAGCCGCGGUAAGACGAACCGCACGAACGUUCUUCGGAAUUACUGGGCUUAAAGGGUGCGUAGGCGGUCCGGCAAGUUGGGUGUGAAAGCCCUCGGCUCAACCGAGGAACUGCGCUCAAAACUACCGGACGUGAGGGAGAUAGAGGUGAGCGGAACUUAGGGUGGAGCGGUGAAAUGCGUUGAUAUCCUAAGGAACACCAGUUGCGAAGGCGGCUCACUGGGUCUUUUCUGACGCUGAGGCACGAAAGCUAGGGGAGCGAAGA